Molecule: long non-coding RNA, 957 nt
Organism: Lathyrus oleraceus (garden pea)
Lineage: Eukaryota; Viridiplantae; Streptophyta; Magnoliopsida; Fabales; Fabaceae
Exons: 2
Source: RefSeq, a predicted model, not a curated record
GGCCCUAAGCCCAGAAAUCUUGUAACAGGACAAAAAUCCAAUUGCUACGGGGGUGUGGGAAGUAGGCUUAGCGGUGUGGAUUGAAGGAAACGUGUUUGGGUAAAAAGUGGGGAUGGGCCUUUCCAGACCUAGGCCCAUCAAUUCCAUUUCCAAAAGCGCACAAGAGGAUUUCAGUAUCCUGCAAACCCAAACAUCUAAUACUGCGAAUGAAAAUGGACUCCGCUGCCGCAUCCGAUUCCGACGGAACACCGGCAUUCCCACCUCUCGCCGCUUGGGAUUCGUGAAACAUCGAACAUAGCACCAGUCGUGAUGGUAUCAUCCUUAGAAAAUCCAACGAAAGAACUAACGAUUCCUUCAGCUUCGACUCUCAAUCGCACUACAACGGCAUGUCGGCUCCACGUGACCUUCAUCGUCGCACCUUGCUUCUGUCCCGCGUUUCUUCGUUCAUUUACGAUCGUCUUGGCGUGAGGAUGAAGAGUGCUCCGGUUCUAGUUCGGCGAUUCAGAAGUAAAAGUUCUUCACGAUCCAUGCUUCCUCUCGCGAGAUGCCUCGGUGUUCCAAUCAAUGGAUCGAACCGCAAUUUGCAGCUUCCGUUCAAACGCGUAUACACAAGGGCGUGCAGAAUCAAAGAAAAAGAAUGAGGAACUCACCGGAUUAGUCUGAUGAUCAACGGGUGAAUUUGGCUGCGUAAUGGACUUGCCUUUCGAUGUCGCGGCUGUUAUUUGCAUAUGCGUUAAGCUCGCCUACGACAAUUUUGUUCCGUCGUUUAGUUGUGUGUACGGCGCAUGUUUUUCUUUGGUUUUCGUUUAGCUGCAGUUUUCGUUUUGGUACUGUGAUAUUUUUUUUGUUAUUGCACUGUAAUGACCUUUCCCAGACUGUACUAGUGUAGACUGGUGUAAAUGUGUUUGUAUUGUCAACGUAUUUCACUUUGCCUAUAACAAAACAAAUUUCAUCCUA